RNAcentral lists this ribosomal RNA (405 nucleotides) under uncultured bacterium. RNAcentral's name for it is "partial 16S ribosomal RNA". It matches the Rfam family "Bacterial small subunit ribosomal RNA", at positions 29 to 526 of the family's 1533-position model. The record is from RNAcentral.
AUUGAACGCUGGCGGCAGGCCUAACACAUGCAAGUCGAACGGAGUGGCGAACGGGUGAGUAACGCGUGAGUAACUGCCCCCCUCUCUGGGAUAACAGUUGGAAACGGCUGCUAAUACCGGAUAGUGGGGGAUGACUCGCGUCCUAUCAGCUUGUUGGUGGGGUAGUGGCCUACCAAGGCGACGACGGGUAGCCGGCCUGAGAGGGCGACCGGCAACAUUGGGCUGAGAUACGGCACAAACUCCUAAGGGAGGCAGCAGUGGGGAAUAUUGCACAAGGGGGGAAACCCUGAUGCAGAAACGCCGCGUGCGGGAGGACGGCCUGGGAGUUGUAAACCGCUUUCAGCCAUGACGCGGUAGUGGCAGAAUAAGCACCGGCUAACUACGUGCCAGCAGCCGCGGUAAUUC